This 433-nucleotide ribosomal RNA is filed under the name uncultured bacterium. RNAcentral describes it as "partial 16S ribosomal RNA". It matches the Rfam family "Bacterial small subunit ribosomal RNA", at positions 29 to 507 of the family's 1533-position model. The record is from RNAcentral.
AACGAACGCUGGCGGCAUGCCUAACACAUGCAAGUCGAACGAGACCUUCGGGUCUAUUGGCGCACGGGUGCGUAACGCGUGGGAACCUGCCCUUAGGUUCGGAAUAACUCCCCGAAAGGGGUGCUAAUGCCGGAUAAUCUCUUCGGACCAAAGAUUUAUCGCCUUUGGAUGGGCCCGCGUUGGAUUAGCUAGUUGGUAGGGUAAAAGCCUACCAUGGCGACGAUCCAUAGCUGGUCGGAUAGGAUGAUAAGCCACACUGGGACUGAGACACGGCCCAGACUCGUACGGGAGGCAGCAGUAGGUAAUAUUGGACAAUGGACGAAAGCCUGAUCCAGCAAUGCCGCGGGAGUGAUGAAGGCCUUAGGGUUGUAAAGCUCUUUUACCCGGGAUGAUAAUGACAGUACCGGGAGAAUAAGCACCGGCUAACUCCGUG